This 406-nucleotide ribosomal RNA is filed under the name uncultured bacterium. RNAcentral's name for it is "bacterial SSU rRNA". It matches the Rfam family "Bacterial small subunit ribosomal RNA", at positions 29 to 457 of the family's 1533-position model. The record is from RNAcentral.
AACGAACGCUGGCGGCAUGCCUAACACAUGCAAGUCGAACGGGAUCCUAGCUUGCUAGGUGAGAGUGGCGGACGGGUGAGUAACACGUGGGAAUCUGCCUUUUGGUUCGGGAUAACCGCGGGAAACUGCGGCUAAUACCGAAUGCCCUCGAGAGAGGAAAGAUUUAUCGCCAGAAGAGGAGCCCGCGUCCGAUUAGGUAGUUGGUGGGGUAAAGGCCUACCAAGCCGACGAUCGGUAGCUGGUCUGAGAGGAUGAUCAGCCACACUGGGACUGAGAUACGGCCCAGACUCCUACGGGAGGCAGCAGUGGGGAAUAUUGGACAAUGGGGGCAACCCUGAUCCAGCAAUGCCGCGUGAGUGAUGAAGGCCUUAGGGUGUAAGCUCUUUGCCAGGGAAGAUGAUGACUG